CCUACGGGUGGCAGCAGUGGGGGAUAUUGCACAAUGGGGGGAACCCUGAUGCAGCGACGCCGCGUGGGUGAAGAAGCGCCUCGGCGCGUAAAGCCCUGUCAGCAGGGAAGAAAAUGACGGUACCUGAAGAAGAAGCCCUGGCUAACUACGUGCCAGCAGCCGCGGUAAUACGUAGGGGGCAAGCGUUAUCCGGAUUUACUGGGUGUAAAGGGCGUGUAGGCGGGCAUGCAAGCCAGAAGUGAAAUCUGGGGGCUUAACCCCCAAACUGCUUUUGGAACUGCGUGUCUUGAGUGAUGGAGAGGCAGGCGGAAUUCCCAGUGUAGCGGUGAAAUGCGUAGAUAUUGGGAGGAACACCAGUGGCGAAGGCGGCCUGCUGGACAUUAACUGACGCUGAGGCGCGAAAGCGUGGGGAGCAAACAGGAUUAGAUACCCGGGUAGUC
RNAcentral lists this ribosomal RNA (440 nucleotides) under uncultured bacterium. RNAcentral's name for it is "partial 16S ribosomal RNA". It matches the Rfam family "Bacterial small subunit ribosomal RNA", at positions 338 to 795 of the family's 1533-position model. The record is from RNAcentral.